UACGUAGGCAGCGAGCGUUGUUCGGAGUUACUGGGCGUAAAGGGUGUGUAGGCGGUUGUUUAAGUUUGGCGUGAAAUCUCCCGGCUCAACUGGGAGGGUGCGUCGAAUACUGAAUGACUUGGAGUGCGGGAGAGGAAAGUGGAAUUCCUGGUGUAGCGGUGAAAUGCGUAGAUAUCAGGAGGAACACCGGUGGUGUAGACGGCUUUCUGGACCAUAACUGACGCUGAGACACGGAAGCGUGGGUAGCAAACAGG
RNAcentral lists this ribosomal RNA (254 nucleotides) under uncultured bacterium. RNAcentral's name for it is "partial 16S ribosomal RNA". It matches the Rfam family "Bacterial small subunit ribosomal RNA", at positions 524 to 776 of the family's 1533-position model. The record is from RNAcentral.